AGCAUCGGCCGGGAAUCGAACCCAGGUCGCCCGCGUGGCAGGCGAGCAUUCUACCACUGAACCACCGAUGG
Molecule: transfer RNA, 71 nt
Filed under: Cordylochernes scorpioides
Lineage: Eukaryota; Metazoa; Arthropoda; Arachnida; Pseudoscorpiones; Chernetidae
Description: tRNA-Gly
Source: RNAcentral